This 496-nucleotide ribosomal RNA is filed under the name uncultured bacterium. RNAcentral describes it as "partial 16S ribosomal RNA". It matches the Rfam family "Bacterial small subunit ribosomal RNA", at positions 30 to 523 of the family's 1533-position model. The record is from RNAcentral.
AUUGAACGCUGGCGGAAUGCUUUACACAUGCAAGUCGAACGGUAGCGGGGGCAACCCCUCGAGAGUGGCGCACGGGUGAGUAAUAUAUCGGAACGUGCCCCCACGUGGGGGAUAACGUAGCGAAAGAUACGCUAAUACAGCAUACGAUCUAAGGAUGAAAGAGUGGGAGAGCAAGACCUCGCGCGACUGGCGUGCCCGAUAUCAGAUUAGGUAGUUGGUGGGGUAAAGGCUCACCAAGCCAACGAUCUGUAGCUGGUCUGAGAGGACGAUCAGCCACACUGGAACUGAGACACGGUCCAGACUCCUACGGGAGGCAGCAGUGGGGAAUUUUGGAUAAUGGACGCAAGUCUGAUCCAGCCAUGCCGCGUGCAGGAUGAAGGCCCUCGGGUUGUAAACUGCUUUUGUACGGAACGAAAAGGUCUCUCUUAAUACGGGGGGCUCAUGACGGUACCGUAAGAAUAAGCACCGGCUAACUACGUGCCAGCAGCCGCUGUAA